AUAUUUCUUUGGCAACACAUAUACUAAAAUUGGAAUGAUACAGAGAAGAUUAGCAGGGCCCCUAAACAAGGAUGACACAUGAAUUCAUGAAGCAUUCCAUAUUUUC
RNAcentral lists this small nuclear RNA (106 nucleotides) under Microcebus murinus (gray mouse lemur). The record is from RNAcentral. Lineage: Eukaryota; Metazoa; Chordata; Mammalia; Primates; Cheirogaleidae.